ACUCAAUAGAUACCCUGGUAGUCCAUGCCGUAAACGUUGGGCACUAGGUGUGGGGACAUUCCACGUUUUCCGCGCCGUAGCUAAACGCAUUAAGUGCCCCGCCUGGGGAGUACGGCCGCAAGGCUAAAACUCAAAGGAAUUGACGGGGGCCCGCACAAGCGGCGGAGCAUGCGGAUUAAAUUCGAUGCAACGCGAAGAACCUUACCAAGGCUUGACAUGGACCGGAUCGCUGCAGAAAUGUGGUUUCUCCUUUUGGGGCCGGUUCACAGGAGGUGCAUGGUUGUCGUCAGCUCGUGUCGUGAGAUGUUGGGUUAAGUCCCGCAACGAGCGCAACCCUCGUUCCAUGUUGCCAGCACGUGAUGGUGGGGACUCAUGGGAGACUGCCGGGGUUCAACUCGGAGGAAGGUGGGGACGACGUCAAAUCAUCAUGCCCCGUUAUGUCUUGGGCUUCACGCAUGCUACAAUGGCCGGUACAAAGGGUUUGCGAUACUGUGAGGUGGAGCUAAUCCCAAAAACGCCGGUCUCAGUUCGGAUUGGGGUCUGCAAC
RNAcentral lists this ribosomal RNA (547 nucleotides) under uncultured bacterium. RNAcentral describes it as "bacterial SSU rRNA". It matches the Rfam family "Bacterial small subunit ribosomal RNA", at positions 770 to 1311 of the family's 1533-position model. The record is from RNAcentral.